AGUAAACAUGGCCAGUAGGAGAAACUUGAAAAUUCUUGUCAACAGGAAAUGUUUCCUUUUUGGUCUGUCAGACCCAGAAGCAGUCAGAAGCAGAGGGAUUCACGUCUGGGACAGACAGGAGAAGAGCUCCUGGGAUUUGCAGAAGAAAGAGGCCUGGGGACAAGUAGAUGUCAUCACUGGGGCCUCAGGAAGACCUUAUCGGGCCUGUAGACUCUUCAUUUGGAGCCUUGGUCUUAGCAGUGUUGAUUUCUGGCCCUUGGCGGAUGGCUACUAUACCUGGGAGUUACUUGCCUCUGUAAGUAACUCCGAAGGCCACUUCGCCUUAGGAUGGCAGGUAAUUAAGUCUAGAGGAGUGAGAGAGCAGAUACGUUCUCAGUUCAUGGGUGAAUGA
Long non-coding RNA from Bos indicus x Bos taurus (hybrid cattle), 391 nucleotides. The record is from Ensembl. Lineage: Eukaryota; Metazoa; Chordata; Mammalia; Artiodactyla; Bovidae.